AGGGAAUCUUCCACAAUGGACGCAAGUCUGAUGGAGCAACGCCGCGUGAGUGAAGAAGGUUUUCGGACCGUAAAGCUCUGUUGUUGGUGAAGAAGGAUGGAGGUAGUAACUGGCCUUUAUUUGACGGUAAUCAACCAGAAAGUCACGGCUAACUACGUGCCAGCAGCCGCGGUAAUACGUAGGUGGCAAGCGUUGUCCGGAUUUAUUGGGCGUAAAGCGAGCGCAGGCGGAAGAAUAAGUCUGAUGUGAAAGCCCUCGGCUUAACCGAGGAAUUGCAUCGGAAACUGUUUUCUUGAGUGCAGAAGAGGAGAGUAGAACUCCAUGUGUAGCGGUGGAAUGCGUAGAUAUAUGGAAGAAUACCAGUGGCGAAGGCGGCUCUCUGGUCUGCAACUGACGCUGAGGCUCGAAAGCAUGGGUAGCGAACAGGAUUAGAUACCCUGGUAGUCCAUGCCGUAAACGAUGAGUGCUAAGUGUUGGGAGGCUUCCGCCUCUCAGUGCUGCAGCUAACGCAUUAAGCACUCCGCCUGGGGGAGUACGACCGCAAGGUUGAAAC
This 553-nucleotide ribosomal RNA is filed under the name uncultured bacterium. RNAcentral's name for it is "partial 16S ribosomal RNA". It matches the Rfam family "Bacterial small subunit ribosomal RNA", at positions 356 to 900 of the family's 1533-position model. The record is from RNAcentral.